UAAGCAAUAAACAUUGAGCUGCAAAGAAGACUCUGAGACCAGACCAGCUGCCGGAAGAAGCAGAAACCAGCAGAACUGCCUGGAAGAGGUUUAGACCAACUGAGACACCUGGGAAGGACACUCUGCACCAGGUUGAGCUGCCUGCAAGAUUUGUAGUGUGCUCCAGGUUCCAGCUUUGUGGGCUAUCAAAGCUGGUCUCACUCGGUGGUCCAUGCAGUGCAUUUGCCUCAACCCCCAGAGUGCUGGUAUAGCAGGACAUCUGGGUCUCUGCUUGUCACUCUGCAGACAGCAUUGAGUGUGAUAGUCACGCAUGGAGUUCCAAUCAAGCCUGAGUCACCAGGGACCAGAAAUUCUUCAAGUAUUCCUGGAACGAAGUCCUCCACCAGGCAGCAAGGUCCCUCUUGUGUUGGUUAUGAAGAUUGUCUUGUAUCUGCUUCUCAGAGCAUGGGAACCAAUUCUGUGAGUCCAUUGGCAUUGCAGCCAGAGUUCUGCUCUUCAUUUAUACCAUCAUCACCAUCUCCACCACUACCACCAUCACCUUCUACCAUCAUCAUCACCAUCUCCACCACUACCACCACCAUCACCACUAACACUAUAAUCUUACCAUCUUGACUGUUAGCAUCUAAUGUGAGUGUGGAGAGUCAUAAUGGAAAGACUAUUUAAAAUUAGCCCAUGUGCUGGGCUAAUUCAGUUGAUUGACUGCAUGUCUAGCAUGGCCAAAACCCUGGGCUCAGUGUCCAAAAGCGUGAACACUGGUGUGGAGGCAUACCCCUAGGGAGGCGGAGGCAGGCAGGUGAGAAGUUCGUGUCAGCGUUGGCUGCCUACUUAGUUGAAGACCCUGUUUUCAAAAAACAAACCAUUUGUCCAGAUAGAGGUGACUUGCUUGGAAUUCACCCCAAUGACCUUGACAUUUCUGUGGUCAUCCUGUCUCUUGACUGCCAAAGUCACAGGUGUGCACCAGUACACCCAACUCAAAAUCCAUUCUUCACACGUUGCUUCUUCAGAAAUUCUUACAGAGAACGAAGAAGAUGUAAUUGAGGCAAAGUGGGUGUGCUGUGAAUGGAUGUAAGGGUUGAGUUGUUGGCCGGCUGUGUAUGUCAUCAAGCAACCAACUACAAAAUGAAAAACAUGUCAGUAAUAUUUUUUAGCUUGGAAUUACGUGCCAAGUGAAAUUGUUUACUUCUGUCUUUGAUGUUGUCCCCUCAUUUUGUGGCAGCAUCUUGAGUGAGUCAAUUGAUCAGAACUUCGGAUUCUCCUGCCCCACCUUCCCAAGUGCAACACUUCACUCGGCUGCCUGUCCAUUUCCCCAUCUUCUGAAGCUGAGGCCCCUAGACCUUCCUCUGCAUGCUGAAACCUGGUAGGUACUGGCUUCUUCAGUUUCUGAAGUCUGACUGCAACAAAUUCUCAAGUUGAAAGGCAAGCGUGUGACUGAUGCUCUUCAGAAGAGGUGUGUGUCCAAAGCCUUAUGAAUGAUACAUGAUUAUGGGCCUGACCAAAAGAAAGGACCUCUUUCUCCAAACUCACAGAAAAUGGUGUGCAUUCUGUGUUCUGUGUGCCGGACAUUUCUUUUGGCAUUGGCCUGGACCACUUUAUGAUUCAUCUUCCUGUUGUAAUAUAUGCAUCACAGGGUUUGUGGGUUGGCUGGAUUUGCCUCUGAAUUCCUACAGACAUGCACAGAAUUUACCACAAAGUGAGCUCCAAUCAAUAGCUGCAGAAUCUCAUGAGGCAAGUGUCAUUACCACAGGCCAGCCAAGCAAGGAUAACUAAUUAACCUCAUCAGUAAACUACAGUACUGGGACUGGAAUCCAGGACUGUCCAGUGUCCAGGGCCAUGUUUACAUCCUCUGUGGCAUGCUGCCUCCCUGAGCUACACCGGAGGUCCGUUCCCGAGUGUGUUUACUGUCUGGUCUGGACUCUUGCCCAUCUUCCUCAAAUUCCAUUUCCUAUCUCACACUGAUUAAUUUUGUAGAAAUUCUUCAUUCUUCUUGUGUAAGAACAUUCCCCCCUUAUUUUGGAGAUAGUGGUCUCAUUAUGUGGCCUUGGCUGGCUCCAAACUCUGUGUACACCAGGCUGGUCUUGACUUGAGGGCCUCCUGCCUCUACCUCCCAAAUUGCUGAGAUUACAGGCUGUGUCAUCAUAUCUGGUUUCUGACUCCUCUGUAUUUUUUUUUUCUAUGUCAGGAUUUUAUGUAGCCAAGGCUGGCCUCUGACUUGCUAUGUUCCAAGGAUAACCUUGAGUUCCUGAUCUUCCUUCCUGUCAAUUGCUGUGAUUACAUGUGUUUACCUGGGAUUACAUGUGUUCAUCUGGGAUUACAUAUGUGCAUCUGGGACCACAUGUGUGCACCUGGAAUUGCAUGUGUUCUUCUGGGAUUACAUGUGUUCAUCUGGGAUUACACGUGUGUCUCUGGGAUCACAGGUGUGCAGCACUACUUUUUUUUUUGCAGUUUGGGUGAUGGAAUCCAGAGCCUUGUGAAUGCUAGGCAAAUGAUCUACAACUUGAGGUCCACCUCUAGCCUCACUGUGUUCUUUUGCUUUAAAAAAUAUUCUGUUUUCGGGAUGGCAUAGUGACAUGUCUCAAUUGUCAGUCGUCUCUAGACACAUUUCGGGCUACUGUCCUUGAUACAUGAUCUACCAGGUAGAAACAAGGCUUUAUACAAACAAUAAUAAAUUCACAUCCAUGUUGUGUGAACCUAUA
Molecule: non-coding RNA, 2693 nt
Organism: Cricetulus griseus (Chinese hamster)
Lineage: Eukaryota; Metazoa; Chordata; Mammalia; Rodentia; Cricetidae
Source: RefSeq, a predicted model, not a curated record